CCUACGGGCGGCAGCAGUGGGGAAUAUUGCACAAUGGGGGCAACCCUGAUGCAGCGACGCCGCGUGAAGGAAGAAGUAUUUCGGUAUGUAAACUUCUAUCAGCAGGGAAGAAAAUGACGGUAUCUGUCUAAGAAGCCACGGCUAACUACGUGCCAGCAGCCGCGGUAAUACGGAGGGGGCAAGCGUUAUCCGGAUUUACCGGGUGUAAAGGGAGCGUAGGCGGUUUAGCAAGUCAGAAGUGAAAGCCCGGGGCUCAACCGCGGGAUUGCUUUUGAUACUGGUGAACUAGAGUGCAGGAGAGGUAAGUGGAAUUCGUAGUGUAGCGGUGAAAUGCGUAGAUAUUAGGAGGAACACCAAUGGCGAAGGCGGCUUACUGGACUGUAAAUGACGCUGAGGCUCGAAAGCGUGGGGAGCAAACAGGAUUAGAUACCCCAGUAGUC
RNAcentral lists this ribosomal RNA (440 nucleotides) under uncultured bacterium. RNAcentral's name for it is "partial 16S ribosomal RNA". It matches the Rfam family "Bacterial small subunit ribosomal RNA", at positions 338 to 795 of the family's 1533-position model. The record is from RNAcentral.